GACGAACGCUGGCGGCGUGCUUAACACAUGCCAGUCGAACGGAAAGGCCCUGCUUUUGUGGGGUGCUCGAGUGGCGAACGGGUGAGUAACACGUGAGUAACCUGCCCUUGACUUUGGGAUAACUUCAGGAAACUGGGGCUAAUACCGGAUAGGAGCUCCUGCUGCAUGGUGGGGGUUGGAAAGUUUCGGCGGUUGGGGAUGGACUCGCGGCUUAUCAGCUUGUUGGCGGGGUAGUGGCUUACCAAGGCUUUGACGGGUAGCCGGCCUGAGAGGGUGACCGGCCACAUUGGGACUGAGAUACGGCCCAGACUCCUACGGGAGGCAGCAGUGGGGAAUAUUGCACAACGGGCGGAAGCCUGAUGCAGCAACGCCGCGUGCGGGAUGACGGCCUUCGGGUUGUAAACCGCUUUCGCCUGUGACGAAGCGUGAGUGACGGUAAUGGGUAAAGAAGCACCGGCUAACUACGUG
RNAcentral lists this ribosomal RNA (468 nucleotides) under uncultured bacterium. RNAcentral describes it as "partial 16S ribosomal RNA". It matches the Rfam family "Bacterial small subunit ribosomal RNA", at positions 28 to 507 of the family's 1533-position model. The record is from RNAcentral.